GACGUAGGUGGCGAACGUUGCUCGGAAUUACUGGGCGUAAAGCGCGUGUAGGCGGAUUGGUAAGUCAGAUGUGAAAGCCCCGGGCUCAACCUGGGAACAGCAUUUGAAACUGCUAGUCUAGAGUGGUGGAGAGGGAAGCGGAAUUCCUGGUGUAGAGGUGAAAUUCGUAGAUAUCAGGAGGAACACCGGUGGCGAAGGCGGCUUCCUGGACACCAACUGACGCUGAGACGCGAAAGCGUGGGGAGCAAACAGG
This 253-nucleotide unclassified non-coding RNA is filed under the name uncultured Myxococcales bacterium. Its description in RNAcentral is "contains 16S-23S intergenic spacer region". It matches the Rfam family "Bacterial small subunit ribosomal RNA", at positions 524 to 776 of the family's 1533-position model. The record is from RNAcentral. Lineage: Bacteria; Pseudomonadati; Myxococcota; Myxococcia; Myxococcales.